UACGUAGGGGCUAGCGUUAUCCGGAAUUACUGGGCGUAAAGGGUGCGUAGGUGGUUUCUUAAGUCAGAGGUGAAAGGCUACGGCUCAACCGUAGUAAGCCUUUGAAACUGGGAAACUUGAGUGCAGGAGAAGAGAGUGGAAUUCCUAGUGUAGCGGUGAAAUGCGUAGAUAUUAGGAGGAACACCAGUUGCGAAGGCGGCUCUCUGGACUGUAACUGACACUGAGGCACGAAAGCGUGGGGAGCAAACAGGAUUAGAUACCCGUGUAGUCCCUGAG
This 276-nucleotide ribosomal RNA is filed under the name uncultured prokaryote. RNAcentral describes it as "partial 16S ribosomal RNA". It matches the Rfam family "Bacterial small subunit ribosomal RNA", at positions 524 to 801 of the family's 1533-position model. The record is from RNAcentral.